UGAAACCAACACUAGGGGGCGCUGCGAAACUUGGCCCGGUCUGGCUACACUGUGCAGCAUGGCGGCUUUACGGAGGUCCCCGCGUGCGCUGUCCUUCGUGAAAAUAUUAAGCUUCUUGCAGUGCGACGUUAAUUCGCGCUGUUUUGUGGAGGGAGAACGGGUAGUGGACGCCGAGCACCUCAUUUUAGUCCGUACCAGUGGUACAGUGAGUAGUGAGAUGGAAGUGGUCGCGCUGUGUGUGCAAACAUCCGGCGUGACAGCGGACCCGCACGAGAUUGUGGUGAGAAUCACCGACCCAUUCCGGGACCCAUCGAUCGUGGAGGCAAAGUGCUCAUGCACUGCUGGAUUGUCACAAAAGUGCAAGCACAUCUCAGCUCUUUUGAUCCACUGUUACAGGUAAGUCUUCCGUGACUCAGUCACUACAUCGACGCGCAUGGGAGCGAAAAGCAAGCCCGCUGCUUCCACAGCUUUUGAAACAGGGCCGGGAUAAUGUAACUGACUCUGUUCCCAUUCCAAACCUGUUCUAUUCCUUCGCCGCGACUGACGCCAAAGGUGCUGUUUCCAAAUAGUUGUCGGGGCUAGGAAUAGAAUCGAGGAAAAGAGUCGGUUACAUCACACCAACACAGCUCACAUUUUUUUCAAACAUAAAGCCAGGGGAAAAAAUAGAUAUCCUUGCAUACUGAGCGUGUAGCAAGGAAUCAAAGCGCGAGCUUUUCACUUUGUCAUGCAGCCUAGUUUAGCAUGCUUUGUGAGGGUGUGGCUAAGCUCUCUUCCUAGUUUUGCGUUCCGGAAACUUUUAUUUUCUAUUUUAAAUUCAAGAUAAGCGCAUAAUGACUGCUGCUUCGCUUAGGCCUAGUUACUGCAGUAGGUUGCUCACUGUUUCUGUCGUAGAAAGAAGCGCGAAAAGGAAAUCAAACGACCUGCUUUCAAUAAAAACCUAUGCAAACCAGGUGCAGGUUUGACUUGUGGUGCAUGACCUGAUCGUAUCUGAUUACUGCCUGCCUCAUGUGCCGCCACAAUUGGCUGCUAUGUAAACUAAUGAAAGGGGAAAAUCUGUUUCUGUGUAAGCUAGUGGUGACUCACCUCUUGCGCCAACCUGAACUGAUUUUGCAUGUUCCUCUGUUGUUGAAUCAUACAUUUUAAGGCUAGGUUCGCCUCCCAACUGCUUAUUUCUUUCAGACGCUAAUAUCAGAUCAUUGCUUCAAUGUUUACACAUUUUCAAAUGAAUGUGACGCUUACUCCCCAGCUAAACACUUCUAGCCUGGCAAGCGAACAUUUAGACCCAGUUUAUUCCGUUUGUGUGAUUACGAAAUGAGUGGGCUUUUCUUGUUUUUUCACGAACAUAGCUGCACUCAUGGUUGAAAACAGGAGUGGAAAUUACUGAUGAGCUAGGAGCACGGUUACAUUUGGAAAGACGGGUGUUCACAUACUUCGUGAAGAGGAACUUGUUAAACUUUUCAUCGUGUUCUGUACAGUCUCUCAGAACUAUCUAUUACUUGGUGCAGUGAUGCAGUAUAUGGUACCAGUGAUCUUUUGCAGAGUUCUUGUUCUGAACUAUGUUGUGUUUUUUAUUAGUAUUAUCAGAGCCCAUAUAAAGCAAAAGUAAGUCACAUACGUCAAUGCAUAUGUUGCAGUUGAAGGGGUUAUUAACACAUGCAAUUUAUGGUCAUUGAUACAUUUGAGAGCAAUCUUUCUAAAUGUGGUUUUUGGGCACUAGAUGGGACACACAGAAGAAAAAAUGCACACACAUCAUCACUGCGCUGCAGGUUUUCGACUGAUUUAGAAUGUUAUGCUGAUGAACUUGUUGACUACGACUUGUAUAUCUCAGUUAUGUUUUCUGCAACAAAAACCUCUUCCAGAUGAGGCCUUGGGUCCCUGCCGCCACUUAGCUGCACAGAUGUGGCGUGUGCAUGGGGCACCAAAAAGAAACUUGUGCAGAAUAUGUAUGCACCUGCACCCAUCCGGACACAUUGCCAUGUGAAGCUGCCUGUCCCUCCUCCGCAAGUUCCAAUGACUGAUGCCGCACAGAUGUUGCAGAUCCUCCAAAACAGUGCUCCAAGUUCUGCUAUUGCAGUGUUAAAAAAACGCAGAAGAGGGCAAAACAGCUCCACAACAGAGUCUCGGACCAAGAAUGCUAAACAAGCCUGCCGUUCCGCCCCACUUCCUAUGUUGGAAAUGCUGAGGGCUCAAGCAAAUGAACUGAAGCAGAAGGCACCAGAAGACGUCAUGCUCCAUGUGCGCGAAUUGUACGGUGGAGAGCGUUCCAGGAGUGAGAUUGAAUCCUUGACACAGGGACAGUCGAAUUCUCCAGAAUGGCAAAGAUAUCGAAAGGGCCUUGUAACUGCAAGCAUUGCUCAUGCCUGUAUGACUCGAGCGAAGACUUUUCUUCGUUCGAAAGGUGCGGCCAACAUUGACCCAUUUCUUAUGCUUAUUUUAAGAAGCAGAACUGCUAUAACACCAGCAAUGCAUGUUGGGAUUUUGAAGGAAAGUGCAGCGCGUAUUGCAUACAAGACAUGGCAAGAAGCACUGGGGCACGCACUUGAAGUGCUUCAGAGAGGGCUCGUUUUGUGCGAAGAAUUUCCCUUCGUAGGUUCUUCCCC
This 2600-nucleotide long non-coding RNA is filed under the name Dermacentor andersoni. Its description in RNAcentral is "uncharacterized LOC126516513". Lineage: Eukaryota; Metazoa; Arthropoda; Arachnida; Ixodida; Ixodidae. The record is from RNAcentral.